RNAcentral lists this non-coding RNA (89 nucleotides) under Methylomagnum ishizawai. RNAcentral describes it as "sRNA-Xcc1". It matches the Rfam family "sRNA-Xcc1". Lineage: Bacteria; Pseudomonadati; Pseudomonadota; Gammaproteobacteria; Methylococcales; Methylococcaceae. The record is from Rfam by way of RNAcentral.
GGGCGGGAGUGUGACGGAUACAAGACCUGUGAAGGGAAGAAGUCCGCCCGAUCCUGGUUUUUGGGUUUCUAGCUCCCGCCCACCCCGCU